GUGAAUAAAGUGUUUCUUCCUUGCAAAAACCCCCACCAACUCUCAGCCCAGUGAUGCAGUUUCAGUGUGUCACGGACGCAGAAUCAGCUCAGGUUCCAUCUUGGUAAAAUUGGUGCAAACCCCACAAGGCUUCAGGUGCCUGAAACCUGCACCUGGGGUCACAGCACAGGGUUUUUCCAGAGGUCUGGGAAGGGACAUCUCCCCCCGCUUUGUUCAUUUUUGCCAGGGUUGAAAUGAGUGCAGGGCUUUGCCCUCAGCUCCCGUACCUGGGGGACAUGGGGACAUCGCUUGGUGGCCGGUCCCACCCAAAGAAGGGUGCUUAUGCUGCUGGGACAGUUCUGCCUGUGGUCUCAUCUUGCUCGUUGGCUGCAAGCUCUUGGCACUCAUAAACAAAGCCGGGAACCUCUUGCUGCACACUUUCUCCUGGCUGACAUUUCCCUUGUGGGAGUGAUAGGGCAGGGAAAGGCUGAGCCCUGCUCUUAAGCUCUGCCACAAAAUGUCUCCAGCAAGCCAGUGUGCCGUGCCUCAGUUUCCCCACACGCCCCAUGGAAAUGAUGCUAUUGCCACACAGGACUUUGGCAAAGCACUGGGAGAUCAAUGUUCACACACAGUGCUUCAUUACCAGGGAGCUGUGGGACCUGCUGCUCAUUCCUCUCGUCCUAAGGCAGGGGUUUAAAAUAGCUUCUGUGACUCACUGUGCCCAGAAGGGCCCAAAGGUGCCACCUCCAAGCCCGUGUGUGCAUUUCCAGCAUGUCUGGCUGCUGCUCACCUCCCAUUCCCAGGAAGCGAUGUGAUAAAGAGAGUUUGUUGCCUUUGCUGUGGCUGAGCACCGUGCUGGAUAUGGGAAGGCAAAGGUUGGAUGUUAGGAUACAUUUCUUCUCGGAAGGAGCGGCGAUGCAUUGUCACAGGCUGCCCUGGAAGGUGGUGGGGUCACCAUCCCUGGAGUUGUUCAAGAUGUGGCACUGAGAGAUGUGGUCAGUGGGCUUGGUGUGCUGGGGUCGGACUUGGGGAUCUUAGUGGUCUUUUCUGACCUUAGCGAUUCUAUGAUGUAAAAGCAGCAGGAACAGCUAGACGAGUAAUAAAACAUCCAUCAUCUCCAACCCAACCCUGCUGUUCUUGUCUGGGAGAAGGGAAACUUGCCUAUUGUGACUGGACAACCUUCGAGGUCCCUCACAACCCAAGCCAUUCUAUGCUAUUGACUUUGGGUCUCCCAUCGCCAUACUCCUAGAGGUGCAGGACAUGGAUGGACCUGGUGGCUCUUGGCUACACGAAGGUGCCAGCAGGAGGGAAGGCUGCAGCGCAGGGCACAGCGAUGGUGGACGGGAUCACCAGCGGCAGACGGAAACGCCGCAGCUGUCAGCGCGCUGAGCAGCGCCGGACCAACUCGGCCCUUUUCUAAGAAACGCCGCAGCAGUUGUGAGUGUUUACGGGAAGGGUGGGCUGUGCUCAACCCGGGCAGCCGCGAUAGCAGCGGGAGGAUGCGGCGCGGGGGCUCUGCGCUGCUCUGCUUUCGUGUAAGAGCUGCUUCCCGGAUGGUCCGGAGGAAAAGCGAGAGGGGAGGUUCAAUGCAAACCGCAUCUCUAAAUAGGGCUGAACUUUGAAGGCAUUCGGAGCAGUGCUUCCUGCUCUGAGCGGCCUCGAGGAGGAGAUGAAAGAUGCAGCUGAGCAGGGAAAAAAAAGCUAAACAAACGGAAUUAACGCUUUGUGCAGAGAUGCAGCAGCGACACAACACGGGACUGCAUCCAGAGCUGGGACAGAGCUCUAGGAACCCCAGUUCCCAAAAAGCAGCUCUACUUGGAGAAGAGAGCAUAGGGAACGGGAUAGGAAUGCUGUUUUUAUGCGCUGGCAUAAAUCAAGGAAUGGCCCGAUUGGGUUGAGCUGGGGGUCUUGCAGAGUAACUUUCAGACUGCUCGGUGCCCUUCCUUGCGGCAGGAACAGCACAAUCCCGUGAUGGGCAUCCUCCACAAAGCAGCACGGUGCCAACAGCUCAGUAGUAGCCGAGUGCCAACAUUCUCAUGACAUCAAAUGAAACAAAACAAAACCUGACCAACAGCCCCAAAGCCAAAGUGUUGCAGAGCUGGGAAGUGGGGUUUGACAGCUCAGAAAGUAUAACACGAGCAAAGUGUCACCGCUGCCGACCGACAGUAACCGACUUCCCGUAACCUGGCCAUGGGCUUCCUCUGGGGCUGGAGGUGGGGACAGCACAACGCCAGCUGCCUGCACCCCGUGCAACACCCCCAGCACCCACACAACACCAACAUCCCCCGCGCCGACAGAGCCGGAGCAACAGGCUCGGCAGUGCCCGAAUGUAAUUGGGCUGACAACAUCCGGUGUUUCGCAAGCUGGCUUUGAUGUCUGUUUACUCUCCAUCCCCAGCACAUGCUCCUCAGCGGCCUGCAGCAGACAGGAGGGCUCUGCACUGCUUUGAUCUCUCCCAGACCUGCGGGGAGUGGUUGAGCUGAAGACACCCUGGAGGGCCGUGCUGCCCCACGGGGCUGGAGCCUUCGGGGCUGGGCUGUGUCCUCCUCUCAUCUCCAUCGGGAUGCUGCAGCCCCGUGAGGGGUCAGUACCCCACUUGCUCCCACUUCUCUCCGUCCCACCCUGCGUAAUAAAGGGAUGCCUCCGUUCCAUGAUUUUCUUUUUAUUUAAAACCGCAUUGUAUAAAAAAAAUAGGAUUUCUGAAUUCCCCUGUACAAUAUUAACUAUUAACAAAAACCCGCCAGCGACACGCAGGUUGCAUGUAGAGACAACAGCGCUCUCUGCAAGCUCAGCCCAAAGAGUGCGUGGGCACACACAGCCCCCCCCAGCCCCAAAAACCCCAAAUCCAUCCGUGAUGUGGGACAGACACAUGGACACAGAGCGAAAUCCGACUGGGCACCGAGGGUCAGCAGCUGCAGAAGCAAGGCAUGGGUCGGGGACCCACGUGGGUUAUAAAUAAAUAAAUAAGUUAUCCUCCUGGCUCAGGCUCUUCCUUGCAAAAAACAAACAAACAAAAAAACAAACAAAAAUAAAAAAACAAAA
Molecule: non-coding RNA, 3021 nt
Organism: Meleagris gallopavo (turkey)
Lineage: Eukaryota; Metazoa; Chordata; Aves; Galliformes; Phasianidae
Source: RefSeq, a predicted model, not a curated record